UUUACCUUUUGGGACAUAGAUUCUAUAAAAAAUAAAAAAAACAUGUUUCAUGUCUGAGUUUUGGAAAAAUAGCAGUGAUCAACUGACCAAAGUUUUAUUCAGCUUAUUUAAUAAAAGUAGUAUUAAAACCAAAGCGCUCUAACUAAGGUAAACAUAGUAGGUAGUCAAAAGACAAACGGGCAAUAACAUGAUUUUAUAAUUGAUGGGCAAUUCAUGAAACAUAAAUAGUUAGAAUAGAUGAUAGAUCUAGGCUAGACCUCAUGACCUAAUAACUAGUUUGCAUUUUCCUCAAAUUUUAGGAAACGCCGAGGUAAAGAAGCAAGGAAUUCCAAAGGAUAGAAAUUAAAGAGCUUCUGCAGUUUGUGGUUACUAGAAACAUGAACCGUUUGGAACUGGAGGAAAGGGGAGCAGCAAAGAAGAAAAGGUGAAAGAAAGAACCUGGAAAAGAGCAACACAUUCAGAGCAGCUGGUGGCCAAGAGAGAGAAUGGCAUACAUUAAGAAAGAAAUGGCGAGACAUGGCUUUGAAAGCCAAAGCGUAUAAAGCCCAAAGAACAGGAUUCAGAGGCUACGGACCUGAGCUUGUCUAAUGAAAAUUUUC
Strongylocentrotus purpuratus (purple sea urchin) is the source of this 599-nucleotide long non-coding RNA. RefSeq lists it as uncharacterized. The record is from RefSeq and is a predicted model, not a curated record. Lineage: Eukaryota; Metazoa; Echinodermata; Echinoidea; Camarodonta; Strongylocentrotidae. The transcript is spliced from 3 exons.